This 412-nucleotide ribosomal RNA is filed under the name uncultured microorganism. Its description in RNAcentral is "bacterial SSU rRNA". It matches the Rfam family "Archaeal small subunit ribosomal RNA", at positions 330 to 745 of the family's 1478-position model. The record is from RNAcentral.
GCGCACCAGGCGCGAAACCUCCGCAAUACACGAAAGUGUGACGGGGCCAUCCCGAGUGCCGUCCGCUGAGGACGACUUUUCCCCAGUGUACACAGCUGGGGGAAUAAGGAGAGGGCAAGCCUGGUGUCAGCCGCCGCGGUAAUACCAGCUCUCCGAGUGGUGGGGACGCUUAUUGGGCCUAAAGCAUCCGUAGCCGGCUGGGCAAGUCCUCCGUUAAAUCCAACGAUUCAAUCGUUGGGCUGCGGGGGAUACUGUCCAGCUUGGGGGCGGGAGAGGCCGACGGUAUUCCCGGGGUAGGGGUGAAAUCCUAUAAUCCCGGGAGGACCACCAGUGGCGAAGGCUGUCGGCUAGAACGCGCCCGACGGUGAGGGAUGAAAGCUGGGGGAGCGAACCGGAUUAGAUACCGUGUAGU